Arvicola amphibius (Eurasian water vole) is the source of this 72-nucleotide small nucleolar RNA. RefSeq annotates it as small nucleolar RNA SNORD113/SNORD114 family. The transcript has a single exon. The record is from RefSeq and is a predicted model, not a curated record. Lineage: Eukaryota; Metazoa; Chordata; Mammalia; Rodentia; Cricetidae.
UGGACCGAUGAUGACAAGGGUCAGCACUAUAAGUCACUGACGAUGACUACAAUAUUUCUGUCUGAGGUUCAC